Candidatus Rokubacteria bacterium 13_2_20CM_69_15_1 is the source of this 87-nucleotide non-coding RNA. The record is from Rfam. Lineage: Bacteria; Candidatus Rokuibacteriota.
GGGGGCGUGACGGAACUUGGUGAGACGUGGAGGGCUUAAACCCCUCUGUCCGUAAAGGACAUGCAGGUUCGAAUCCUGCCGCCCCUA